ACAAACACUAGCCCGACCUAAAUUAAACUCAACUAAUAUUAUUAAAUAAACCAAAACAUUUACCUUUAAUUUAAAAGUAUAGGAGAUAGAAAUUUUAAUUGGCGCUAUAGAGAAAGUACCGUAAGGGAAAGAUGAAAGACACGUUCAAAGUAAAAAACAGCAAAGAUUAACACUUGUACCUUUUGCAUAAUGAUUUAACCAGAAAAACUUGACAAAGAGAACUUAAGCCAAAUAACCCGAAACCAGACGAGCUACCCAAAAACAGCUAAAGAGCAAACUCAUCUAUGUGGCAAAAUAGUGAGAAGAUUUUUGGGUAGCGGUGAAAAGCCUAUCGAGCCUGGUGAUAGCUGGUUGUCCAGAACAGAAUUUAAGUUCAACUUUAAGUCUUGCCUAAAAGACUUCCAACUCAAAUGCAGACUUAAAAUAUAAUCUAAAAGGGUACAGCCUUUUAGAAACAGGAUACAACCUUUAGUAGAGGGUAAGUACAACAAAUUCCCAUAGUUGGCCUAGAAGCAGCCACCAAUUAAGAAAGCGUUCAAGCUCGACGACUCAAUAACCUUAAUCCAUACAACUACUAACUAACCCCUACCCUAAUACUGGACUAUUCUAUAAGUCUAUAGAAGAAAUACUGUUAAUAUGAGUAACAAGAACUAUGAUUCUCCCUGCACAAGCUUAUAUCAGAACGGAUAUCCACUGAUAAUUAACAGCAAAAUAUACCAACUCAACAACUAAAACAUAUAUUAAAUUAACUGUUAACCCAACACAGGAGUGCUACAAGGGAAAGAUUAAAAGAAGUAAAAGGAACUCGGCAAACACAAACCCCGCCUGUUUACCAAAAACAUCACCUCUAGCAUUACAAUUAUUAGAGGCACUGCCUGCCCAGUGACAUCUGUUAAACGGCCGCGGUAUCCUGACCGUGCAAAGGUAGCAUAAUCAUUUGUUCUCUAAAUAAGGACUUGUAUGAAUGGCCACACGAGGGUUUUACUGUCUCUUACUUCCAAUCAGUGAAAUUGACCUUCCCGUGAAGAGGCGGGAAUACCUAAAUAAGACGAGAAGACCCUGUGGAGCUUUAAUUAAUCAGUCCAUAAAUAAAACACAACAUCCAAGGAGACAAAACACUUUUAAACGGACUGACAAUUUAGGUUGGGGUGACCUCGGAACACAAAACAACUUCCGAGUGAUAAAAGUCCAGACCAACAAGUCUAAACACUUUAUCAUUUAUUGAUCCAAUUCUUUUUUGAUCAACGGAACAAGUUACCCCAGGGAUAACAGCGCAAUCCUAUUUGAGAGUCCCUAUCGAUAAUAGGGUUUACGACCUCGAUGUUGGAUCAGGACAUCCUAAUGGUGCAGCCGCUAUUAAUGGUUCGUUUGUUCAACGAUUAAAGUCCUACGUGAUCUGAGUUCAGACCGGAGCAAUCCAGGUCGGUUUCUAUCUAUUCUGCGUUCCUCCCAGUACGAAAGGACAAGAGAAACGAGGCCAACUUGUCACAAGCGCCUUAAAACCCAAUAGAUGAAUAUUAUCUCAAUCUAGCAGUCACACUCAAUAAGCCUUAGAAUAAGGUUAUC
RNAcentral lists this ribosomal RNA (1566 nucleotides) under Sphaerias blanfordi (Blanford's fruit bat). Its description in RNAcentral is "16S ribosomal RNA". It matches the Rfam family "Bacterial large subunit ribosomal RNA". Lineage: Eukaryota; Metazoa; Chordata; Mammalia; Chiroptera; Pteropodidae. The record is from RNAcentral.